RNAcentral lists this ribosomal RNA (958 nucleotides) under Tetraploa endophytica. Its description in RNAcentral is "partial large subunit ribosomal RNA". It matches the Rfam family "Eukaryotic large subunit ribosomal RNA", at positions 175 to 1152 of the family's 3401-position model. Lineage: Eukaryota; Fungi; Ascomycota; Dothideomycetes; Pleosporales; Tetraplosphaeriaceae. The record is from RNAcentral.
UCCUGCCUAAGUUCCUUGGAACAGGACGUCAUAGAGGGUGAGAACCCCGUACGUGGCAGGCCGCCUUCGCCGUGUAAAGCCCCUUCGACGAGUCGAGUUGUUUGGGAAUGCAGCUCUAAAUGGGAGGUAAAUUCCUUCUAAAGCUAAAUACUGGCCAGAGACCGAUAGCGCACAAGUAGAGUGAUCGAAAGAUGAAAAGCACUUUGGAAAGAGAGUCAAAAAGCACGUGAAAUUGUUGAAAGGGAAGCGCUUGCAGCCAGACUUGCCUGCAGUUGUUCAUCCGGGCUCCCGCCCGGUGCACUCCUCUGCGGGCAGGCCAGCAUCAGUUUGGGCGGCCGGAUAAAGGCCCCAGGAACGUAGCUCUCUCCGGGGAGUGUUAUAGCCUGGGGCGCAAUGCGGCCAGCCCGGACUGAGGUCCGCGCAUCUGCUAGGAUGCUGGCGUAAUGGCUGUAAGCGGCCCGUCUUGAAACACGGACCAAGGAGUCUAACAUCUAUGCGAGUGUUUGGGUGUAAAGCCCGGGCGCGUAAUGAAAGUGAACGGAGGUGGGAACCCCCUGGGGUGCACCAUCGACCGAUCCUGAUGUCUUCGGAUGGAUUUGAGUAAGAGCAUAGCUGUUGGGACCCGAAAGAUGGUGAACUAUGCCUGAAUAGGGUGAAGCCAGAGGAAACUCUGGUGGAGGCUCGCAGCGGUUCUGACGUGCAAAUCGAUCGUCAAAUUUGGGCAUAGGGGCGAAAGACUAAUCGAACUAUCUAGUAGCUGGUUCCUGCCGAAGUUUCCCUCAGGAUAGCAGUAACGUUUUCAGUUUUAUGAGGUAAAGCGAAUGAUUAGAGGCCUGGGGGUUGAAACAACCUUCACCUAUUCUCAAACUUUAAAUAUGUAAGAAGUCCUUGUUACUUAAUUGAACGUGGACAUUUGAAUGCACCGUUACUAGUGGGCCAUUUUUGGUAAGCAGAACUG